UACGUAGGGGGCUAGCGUUGUCCGGAAUCAUUGGGCGUAAAGAGCGUGUAGGCGGUCCGGCAAGUCCGCUGUGAAAGUCGGGGGCUCAACCCUCGAAUGCCGGUGGAUACUGUCGGGCUAGAGUGCGGAAGAGGCGAGUGGAAUUCCUGGUGUAGCGGUGAAAUGCGCAGAUAUCAGGAGGAACACCUAUUGCGAAGGCAGCUCGCUGGGACGUUACUGACGCUGAGACGCGAAAGCGUGGGGAGCAAACAGG
RNAcentral lists this ribosomal RNA (253 nucleotides) under uncultured bacterium. RNAcentral describes it as "partial 16S ribosomal RNA". It matches the Rfam family "Bacterial small subunit ribosomal RNA", at positions 524 to 776 of the family's 1533-position model. The record is from RNAcentral.